This 349-nucleotide ribosomal RNA is filed under the name uncultured bacterium. RNAcentral's name for it is "bacterial SSU rRNA". It matches the Rfam family "Bacterial small subunit ribosomal RNA", at positions 28 to 375 of the family's 1533-position model. The record is from RNAcentral.
GAUGAACGCUAGCGGCAGGCCUAAUACAUGCAAGUCGAGGGGCAGCGCGGUAGCAAUACUGGCGGCGACCGGCGCACGGGUGCGUAACACGUAUGCAACCUACCUUCAACUGGAGGAUAGCCCGGGGAAACUCGGAUUAAUACUCCAUAACACAGGGAUCCCGCAUGGGAAUAUUGUUAAAGCUACGGCGGUUGAAGAUGGGCAUGCGUUCGAUUAGCUAGUUGGUGUAGGUAACGGCUCACCAAGGCUACGAUCGAUAGGGGGUCUGAGAGGAUGAUCCCCCACACUGGUACUGAGAUACGGACCAGACUCCUACGGGAGGCAGCAGUAGGGAAUAUUGGUCAAUGGG